RNAcentral lists this transfer RNA (73 nucleotides) under Pteropus alecto (black flying fox). It matches the Rfam family "tRNA". From Rfam's summary of the family: Transfer RNA (tRNA) molecules are approximately 80 nucleotides in length. RNAcentral also lists the same sequence under 1 other name. Lineage: Eukaryota; Metazoa; Chordata; Mammalia; Chiroptera; Pteropodidae. The record is from Rfam by way of RNAcentral.
GGCUCCAUAGUGUAGUGGUUAGCAUGUCUGCUUUACAUGCAGAAGGUCUGAGUUCGCACCCCAGAUGGAGCCA